RNAcentral lists this ribosomal RNA (468 nucleotides) under uncultured bacterium. RNAcentral's name for it is "partial 16S ribosomal RNA". It matches the Rfam family "Bacterial small subunit ribosomal RNA", at positions 28 to 507 of the family's 1533-position model. The record is from RNAcentral.
GACGAACGCUGGCGGCGUGCUUAACACAUGCAAGUCGAACGGAAAUUCCCUGCUUUUGUGGGGUUCUCGAGUGGCGAACGGGUGAGUAACACGUGAGUAACCUGCCCUUGACUUUGGGAUAACUUCAGGAAACUGGGGCUAAUACCGGAUAGGAGCUCCUACUGCAUGGUGGUGGUUGGAAAGUUUGCGCGGUUGGGGAUGGACGUGCGGCUUAUCAGCUUGUUGGUGGGGUAGUGGCUUACCAAGGCUUUGACGGGUAGCCGGCCUGAGGGGGUGAACGGCGACAUUGGGACUGAGAUACGGACCAGACUCCUACGGGAGGCAGCAGUGGGGAGUAUGACACAAUGGGCGGACGCCUGAUGCAGCAACGCCGCGAGCGGGAUGACCGCCUUCGGGUUGUAAACCGCUUUCGCCUGUGACGAAGCGUGAGUGACGGUAACGGGUAAAGAAGCACCGGCUAACUACGUG